GAUGAACGCUGGCGGCGUGCUUAACACAUGCAAGUCGAACGGAAAGGCCCAAGCUUGCUUGGGUACUCGAGUGGCGAACGGGUGAGUAACACGUGGGUGAUCUGCCCUGCACUUCGGGAUAAGCCUGGGAAACUGGGUCUAAUACCGGAUAGGACCACGUCUUGGAUGUUGUGGUGGAAAGUUUUUUCGGGGUGGGAUGAGCUCGCGGCCUAUAAGAUUGUUGGUGGGGUAAUGGCCUACCAAGGCGUCGACGGGUAGCCGGCCUGAGAGGGUGUACGGCCACAUUGGGGCUGAGAUACGGCCCAGACUCCUACGGGAGGGAGCAGGGGGGAAUAUUGCACAAUGGGCGCAAGCCUGAUGCAGCGACGCCGCGUGGGGGAUGACGGCCUUCGGGUUGUAAACUCCUUUCGCUAGGGACGAAGCGUUUUUGUGACGGUACCUGGAGAAGAAGCACCGGCUAACUACGUG
RNAcentral lists this ribosomal RNA (468 nucleotides) under uncultured bacterium. RNAcentral describes it as "partial 16S ribosomal RNA". It matches the Rfam family "Bacterial small subunit ribosomal RNA", at positions 28 to 507 of the family's 1533-position model. The record is from RNAcentral.